AUAAAGGGAGUGAAAUAUGUCAUGAGGUGUGACAGUGGACAGAUAGGACUGUGGAAGUUGACACAUGAACAAUAAGUGUCUCUCUUUGUAUAUAUAUACCAAGGGUUUGGUGGCACAUUUUGGGGUUCAUUUGUGUAAUAGUCAGCUGCCAUGGGGUUCAAGCACUUGGUGAUUGUUAGGUUUAAAGAAGAUACUGUGGUGGAGCAGAUUAUGAAAGGGUUGGAGAAGCUGGUUUCUGAGGUUGAUCUUGUCAAGACCUUUGCUUGGUGAGUCCUUAAUUAAUUACUUUGCUGGUUUCUUUGUUUAGUGGAACUCAAGUUUCCAUAUCAUUUUAAGGAGGCAACUGAGUAAUUAACCCUGCAAUAACCAGCAUGAUUUUCUUUAACAAUACCCAAUAUAUAUAAUCCAAAUACUCAAUUAAUAUAUUGUUUGCAUUUUUAAAUAGGGGAGAGGAUUUGGAAAGCCCAGAGAUGCUUACACAAGGCUUUACUCAUGCCAUCUCAAUGACUUUCGACAAGAAGCAAGACUACACUGCAUUUCAAACUCAUCCUAAUCAUGUCGAGUUUUCUGCUUCAUUUUCAGCUGCUAUUGAGAAAAUUGUUGUUCUUUGUUUCUCAUCUGUUCAGGUUAAACCAGCUAUUGCAUGAUCUAUGAGAUCUAGAAAUUAACAAUAAGAAAAUGGUAUUUGUGGUCUUAUGAUAUAUGUGUGUGUAUCAACUUAUGUGUGUUAGCUUUUGUAUGUAUAAAUAAGUGUUGGCGGCUAUUAUUUCCUGCAACUACAUCUCCAUGUAAUUUCAACAUCAACCCUUGUAUCAAGGAAAUGUUUUUAUUGUUGUAUGUUUAUCAUUUUGCUUUUUUUAUGAAUAGACAGGCCACCCUGUGAGAUUUGAUAUGUCUAUGAUUAUUAAUUUCCUGUUCUUUAUGAGAAAAUAAGUUCAAUCUUGUAAAUGAGAAUCUCGUAUGUGAAUGAG
This 971-nucleotide unclassified non-coding RNA is filed under the name Hevea brasiliensis (rubber tree). Lineage: Eukaryota; Viridiplantae; Streptophyta; Magnoliopsida; Malpighiales; Euphorbiaceae. The record is from RNAcentral.